GGAGGAGUGGCUGAGUGGCCGAAAGCGGCGGUCUUGAAAACCGUUGAGUCGAAAGGCUCCGGGGGUUCAAAUCCCUCCUCCUCCGCCA
Molecule: transfer RNA, 88 nt
Filed under: Gynuella sunshinyii YC6258
Lineage: Bacteria; Pseudomonadati; Pseudomonadota; Gammaproteobacteria; Oceanospirillales; Saccharospirillaceae
Description: tRNA-Ser (TGA) (tRNA-Ser-TGA-1-1)
Rfam family: tRNA
About the family: Transfer RNA (tRNA) molecules are approximately 80 nucleotides in length.
Source: RNAcentral